CUAGCUUUUUCCUAAAUUUCUGUCUUGGCUACUGUUGCCUUCCCAGGGUGAAGGAUGUCAAUAACCAUUUGUUUCCUCUAAAGUAGUCUGUUGGUCAUGAACUUCCUCAUCUGAAUAGCACACGUCUGAAC
Long non-coding RNA from Pipistrellus kuhlii (Kuhl's pipistrelle), 131 nucleotides. RefSeq lists it as uncharacterized. The record is from RefSeq and is a predicted model, not a curated record. NCBI's taxonomy places the organism in Eukaryota, Metazoa, Chordata, Mammalia, Chiroptera, Vespertilionidae. The transcript has 3 exons.